This 305-nucleotide long non-coding RNA is filed under the name Lathyrus oleraceus (garden pea). Its description in RNAcentral is "Pisum sativum (pea) long non-coding RNA (PSAT_LNC041945)". The record is from RNAcentral. Lineage: Eukaryota; Viridiplantae; Streptophyta; Magnoliopsida; Fabales; Fabaceae.
ACAAGUAGGGUUCCACAAGGGGCAUUACAAUUCAGGUUUGUGGUUACUUCAGGGUAUGAUGGAAAAUGGGUUUGGGCAAAGAAGGUUCUACCAGCUGAUUGGAAAGUUGGGGUGAUUUAUAAUUCUGAUGUUCAGAUUACAGAAGUUGCACAAGAGGGUUGUUCACCAUGUAAUGAUGAAACAUGGUGAUGAUUUAGGAUAUGUUACUCAAGUGAUGAAUUAAUUAACCUACAUAACAUGUACAUAUUGAUUUUUGUUUUUAGGUGGUUUUAGUUUUAUUUACACUGUGUAUUAUAGGAUUAGAA